UGGGGAAUAUUGCACAAUGGGCGAAAGCCUGAUGCAGCAACGCCGCGUGAGUGAUGAAGGCCUUCGGGUUGUAAAGCUCUGUCUUCUGGGACGAUAAUGACGGUACCAGAGGAGGAAGCCACGGCUAACUACGUGCCAGCAGCCGCGGUAAUACGUAGGUGGCAAGCGUUGUCCGGAUUUACUGGGCGUAAAGGAUGCGUAGGCGGAUACUUAAGUCAGAUGUGAAAAUCCCGGGCUUAACUUGGGAACUGCAUUUGAAACUGGGUAUCUAGAGCGCGGGAGAGGAAAGUGGAAUUCCUAGUGUAGCGGUGAAAUGCGUAGAGAUUAGGAAGAACACCAGUGGCGAAGGCGACUUUCUGGACCGUAACUGACGCUGAGGCAUGAAAGCGUGGGGAGCAAACA
This 402-nucleotide ribosomal RNA is filed under the name uncultured bacterium. Its description in RNAcentral is "bacterial SSU rRNA". It matches the Rfam family "Bacterial small subunit ribosomal RNA", at positions 355 to 774 of the family's 1533-position model. The record is from RNAcentral.